AGCGAACGCUGGCGGCGUGCUUAACACAUGCAAGUCGAACGUGAAAGGGAGCAAUCCCAAGUAAAGUGGCGUACGGGUGAGUAACGCGUAGGUAAUCUACCCCAGAGUCUGGAAUAACCUGCCGAAAGGCGGGCUAAUACUGGAUAGAGCGAUGGAAUCCGUAAUUGGGUUUUUCGGGAAAGGGAGGAAGCAAUUCCCUUCGCUCUGGGAUGAGCCUGCGUCUCAUUAGCUAGUUGGUGGGGUAACGGCUCACCAAGGCUUUGAUGGGUAGCUGGUCUGAGAGGAUGAUCAGCCACACUGGAACUGAAACACGGUCCAGACUCCUACGGGAGGCAGCAGUGGGGAAUCUUGCGCAAUGGACGAAAGUCUGACGCAGCAACGCCGCGUGAGUGAAGAAGGCCU
RNAcentral lists this ribosomal RNA (402 nucleotides) under uncultured bacterium. Its description in RNAcentral is "bacterial SSU rRNA". It matches the Rfam family "Bacterial small subunit ribosomal RNA", at positions 29 to 417 of the family's 1533-position model. The record is from RNAcentral.